Non-coding RNA from Dermatophagoides farinae (American house dust mite), 646 nucleotides. Lineage: Eukaryota; Metazoa; Arthropoda; Arachnida; Sarcoptiformes; Pyroglyphidae. The record is from RefSeq and is a predicted model, not a curated record.
AUAUUUUGUUGUUUGAAAACGAAAAUGAAAAACAAAACAGCAACAACAACAACAACAACAACAAAAAUGGUCAAGAUAAUCAUAUAUCUGAAUCAUUCGGACAUAAACAACGACUACGACGAUGAAAAAAAAACUAGUUGGACAACAAGCAAGAAAAAGUUCCAGAAACAUGUUCAAGACCUGGACAACAACAACAACAACAACAACAAAAACACCACGCGGACAGGCAAAAAUCGUAUCGUAUUAAAAAAAAGAUCAACUGUUGCUGUUGCUGCUGCUGCUAAAUGUUUCGUUGUUUUUGUUUCAUUUUGGGAAAAAAGUGUGUAUUUAAUUUCCGAUCUACUAAAAUGAAUGAAUGAAUGAAUAGACAACAGCAAAAAAAAAAAAAUCUGCUGUUGACCAUCACCGGUCAGUAUUUUUGUUUUGUUUGUUCAUGUCUUUUGGAUUAGAUAACCUGCUGCUGCUAUUGCUAAAUGAACAUUGGUCAGUGGUGGUCAUAUCGUAUUCAUUCAGAGUCAUUUUCUCUUCAAUAACAACACUGAUGCUUAAAUCAUCAUCUGGAGCAACAUAUAGAUGAAACAAGUUGUUCCAUUUGGAUCUUGUUUUUUUUUGUUUUCGUUGCUGAUGAUGAUGAUUAUUGAUCAAU